GGCAAUGGCACAGCUCUCUUAACUUUGCCCUGGCUAGUUUUUUCUCCUAAUCUGUCAAACAAACUUGACUGAUUAGGAGAAAAAACUAGCCAGGGCAAAGUUAAGAGAGCUGUGCCAUUGCC
This 122-nucleotide microRNA precursor is filed under the name Oreochromis niloticus (Nile tilapia). Its description in RNAcentral is "mir-130 microRNA precursor family". It matches the Rfam family "mir-130 microRNA precursor family". From Rfam's summary of the family: The hairpin precursors (represented here) are predicted based on base pairing and cross-species conservation -- their extents are not known. In this case the mature sequence is excised from the 3' arm of the hairpin. The record is from Rfam by way of RNAcentral. Lineage: Eukaryota; Metazoa; Chordata; Actinopteri; Cichliformes; Cichlidae.